RNAcentral lists this ribosomal RNA (377 nucleotides) under uncultured bacterium. Its description in RNAcentral is "bacterial SSU rRNA". It matches the Rfam family "Bacterial small subunit ribosomal RNA", at positions 524 to 898 of the family's 1533-position model. The record is from RNAcentral.
GACGUAGGGCGCGAGCGUUGUCCGGAUUUAUUGGGCGUAAAGAGCUCGUAGGCGGCUCGUCGCGUCGACCGUGAAAACAGGCAGCUCAACUGUGUGCUUGCGGUCGAUACGGGCGGGCUAGAGUUCGGUAGGGGAGACUGGAAUUCCUGGUGUAGCGGUGAAAUGCGCAGAUAUCAGGAGGAACACCGGUGGCGAAGGCGGGUCUCUGGGCCGAUACUGACGCUGAGGAGCGAAAGCGUGGGGAGCGAACAGGAUUAGAUACCCUGGUAGUCCACGCUGUAAACGUUGGGCGCUAGGUGUGGGGGGUCUCUCCGAUCUCCUGUGCCGUAGCUAACGCAUUAAGCGCCCCGCCUGGGGAGUACGGCCGCAAGGCUAAA